Molecule: long non-coding RNA, 1736 nt
Organism: Chenopodium quinoa (quinoa)
Lineage: Eukaryota; Viridiplantae; Streptophyta; Magnoliopsida; Caryophyllales; Amaranthaceae
Exons: 3
Source: RefSeq, a predicted model, not a curated record
GACCCUCACAGAGUCACAGUGUCACAACCUCGCGUCCUCACAAAUUUCUUCCCCCUUGUAUUUCUCCAUGGAUCCCUCAAUUAAGUUUUCACCAUCUCUUUAUGCUGUACCUCCUUACCUCGGCUUCCACCGCUACCACCCUCUCACUUGCUUCUCAGUAAUUAACCCAAUCAAUCUUUUCAUUGAUUUUCAUUCGCCAUUGACAACGAAGCUCGAAAUCAAUAGAGGACAUUAUAUCUCCUUCCGAUAAGCAGGUCAUGGUCUCCAAAUUCCUCGAGAUCGCUGUUCGAUAGAGUGCCGACACAGUCCGCCCAUUUUUGCAGGUAUUUCCCCCAAUUUCUGCUUAUUUUUUUUCUUCAAUUUCAUAAAUUAGGGUUUUUUCACUACAAUGUUCGAUUUGAUGAUCGCUGUACAAUAAAUUAUGUAUUUUAUAAAUUUUGUUUGGGAAGUGUAAACUCGAUUUAGAGUGAUGGCAGGUUGGCAGCUCAGAAAUUGCGCUGCAUUUAUUGGUUAGUGUGAUGAACUGCGGAACUUGCCUUGAACCUGUUGAUUCUACUAUUGACUCCUUGUCUUUUAAUUUGGCUGUUGCCUGCUUUGCUCUUAUUGCAAUCAAGUUAUGCACCUUAAGCUUUAUGUUUUAUCUUUACUUUCGGUUUUAUUUUCAGCUUUUGAUGUGGGCUAAUCCACUCUUGGGUGCCAUGACAACAAAUUUUUCAUUUAUGCUUCAUGGUAUUCAGCCUGGCUGUUUUUGCCUCAAAACUUUAGGUUAUAGGAUUUUUUUUUUUAUUUUUUUUUAUUUUUAUCAUCCUUAUGUAAUAUAAGCUCUUUCUUUGAUUAAAAAAAGUAGUGUAGCCCAAUCAAUUUAGCUGAUGGUUUUAAUUUAGAACAUCUUAAGUGUUAUUCCAAAUUGAUUUUUUUUAUUUGUUGUUUUUCCGAUCCUGAAGUUGCAACUUGGAUUAGUGUGUAUAUCUAGAUUAUAUUGCCAUUGUGGUGGGUUAAAAAUGUACUGAUCAGAAACUAAUUUGUGUAUCUUGUUUUAUAUACACAUCAAAUAAAUUAUAUUUGUAUGUAAAAUUGUUUGUCUUCCGUCUCGUCUUCUUCUUUCUUAUUACUUACUUUCUUGAUUGAUUAUUGCUUGUAGUUCGAGGGAUAUUUGGCAAGAUAUAGUUUGUCGUAAUUUCUCCAUUUUAUGUUGUUAAUCGAGAGGUUUUGAUACCUACUCUGAUUACACUAGUGCUGAUCCUAAUAAAAUGGGAGUGAGAACCAUGAGAUAAAGCAUUGGAAGUUAAGAGACGAUGGGAACAAAAACUUCUGUUAUGGUACAGGCCACAAGAAACAUGCUUGCAUAGCAUGUAGCAACCAAUGUCACUAUUACUGUUUCUGCUGUUACAGAUGUCUACUGUUGUUGCUGAUGCCUGUUAAUAUCACUGGCUCACUGCUAUUGGCUGCUACUGUAGUCUGCUGGCCUGGUACUACGGAGUGCUGACUAUUGUUACUCCAAGUUGCUGCUACCUAAUGUUGCUACCGCUGGCUGCUAUUACUGCCAGCUGCUGCAAUCGGUUAUUACUGCUAGCUGCUCCUAUUGGCCAUUAAUUUCGCUUUUUUCUCUUUAGGAAUUUGUUGGUCUAAUCUAGAGACCGAAGUUGACUUUAUUUUUGUUUUGUUCAUUGGAUUGUUAAGUCAAUAAAAAAAUUUGGUGUUUAUGGCAUUUUUUAAGAUGCUAUAAAAUUAUAUCA